AACGAACGCUGGCGGCAUGCCUAACACAUGCAAGUCGAACGAGCCCUUCGGGGUUAGUGGCGCACGGGUGCGUAACGCGUGGGAAUCUGCCCUUGGGUUCGGAAUAACAGUGAGAAAUUACUGCUAAUACCGGAUGAUGUCUUCGGACCAAAGAUUUAUCGCCCAAGGAUGAGCCCGCGUAUGAUUAGCUAGUUGGUGGGGUAAUGGCCUACCAAGGCGACGAUCCUUAGCUGGUCUGAGAGGAUGAUCAGCCACACUGGGACUGAGACACGGCCCAGACUCCUACGGGAGGCAGCAGUGGGGAAUAUUGGACAAUGGGCGAAAGCCUGAUCCAGCAAUGCCGCGUGAGUGAUGAAGGCCUUAGGGUUGUAAAGCUCUUUUACCCGGGAUGAUAAUGACAGUACCGGGAGAAUAAGCUCCGGCUAACUCCGUG
RNAcentral lists this ribosomal RNA (433 nucleotides) under uncultured bacterium. Its description in RNAcentral is "partial 16S ribosomal RNA". It matches the Rfam family "Bacterial small subunit ribosomal RNA", at positions 29 to 507 of the family's 1533-position model. The record is from RNAcentral.